This 826-nucleotide ribosomal RNA is filed under the name uncultured Palaeococcus sp. RNAcentral's name for it is "bacterial SSU rRNA". It matches the Rfam family "Archaeal small subunit ribosomal RNA", at positions 22 to 851 of the family's 1478-position model. Lineage: Archaea; Methanobacteriati; Methanobacteriota; Thermococci; Thermococcales; Thermococcaceae. The record is from RNAcentral.
GGCCACUGCUAUCGGGGUCCGACUAAGCCAUGCGAGUCAAGGGGCGCUUGCGCGCACCGGCACACGGCUCAGUAACACGUCGGUAACCUACCCUCGGGAGGGGGACAACCCCGGGAAACUGGGGCUAAUCCCCCAUAGGUUUGGGGCGCUGGAAAGCCCCCAAACCGAAAGCUCCGGCGCCCGAGGAUGGGCCGGCGGCCGAUUAGGUAGUUGGUGGGGUAACGGCCCACCAAGCCGACAAUCGGUACGGGCAGUGAGAGCUGGAGCCCGGAGAUGGACACUGAGACACGGGUCCAGGCCCUACGGGGCGCAGCAGGCGCGAAACCUCCGCAAUGCGGGAAACCGCGACGGGGGGACCCCGAGUGCCGUGGACAACCACGGCUUUUCCGGAGUGUAAGAAGCUCCGGGAAUAAGGGCUGGGCAAGGCCGGUGGCAGCCGCCGCGGUAAUACCGGCGGCCCAAGUGGUGGCCACUAUUAUUGGGCCUAAAGCGUCCGUAGCCGGGCCUGUAAGUCCCUGGCGAAAUCCCACGGCUCAACCGUGGGGCUUGCUGGGGAUACUGCAGGCCUAGGGACCGGGAGAGGCCGGGGGUACUCCUGGGGUAGGGGUGAAAUCCUAUAAUCCCAGGAGGACCGCCAGUGGCGAAGGCGCCCGGCUGGAACGGGUCCGACGGUGAGGGACGAAGGCCAGGGGAGCAAACCGGAUUAGAUACCCGGGUAGUCCUGGCUGUAAAGGAUGCGGGCUAGGUGUUGCCUGGACCCCGAGUCCAGGCAGUGCCGCAGGGAAGCCGUUAAGCCCGCCGCCUGGGGAGUACGGCCGCAAGGCUG